Molecule: long non-coding RNA, 209 nt
Organism: Gracilinanus agilis (Agile Gracile Mouse Opossum)
Lineage: Eukaryota; Metazoa; Chordata; Mammalia; Didelphimorphia; Didelphidae
Exons: 3
Source: RefSeq, a predicted model, not a curated record
GCCUCCACUGGCCUCUGUCUUUUCAGCAAGUUUCCUGCAGCACCAAGAAUCUCCCCAGUGAACGUGAUGAAAGUUCUGACAUCAAUAUCCGUUCUGGAAUCUCAGAGGAAGAGAAAGCAGCAGUGAAAAAGCGGGAGGAGUCAGUCUUGACAACCCUGAAGAAGUUGGGCAUCAAUGCCGGAAAGGCUCCUGUGGUUUCUGUCCUGGUC